CGCGAACACACAUACGCCCUGAAGAGGACAGACUGUGCCUUUGAAGACAUACACAUAUAUAUAGGUCAUGGAAACGAAAGUAGAUAACAGUGUUACAGAGUUCCAAACAAAUUGCCACUAGGAGCGGUACCGCAUUGGGGACCAUAUGCGGGGACUUAGCACUGCAAGAAUGUGUGCUUCCGCUUAGCAAUUAAAUAAGUGACGUUGAUAUUGCAACUAGCAUCUGUUUUCGCCCCCGGAAGAGAGUCCUCUUUCAGAAAACAUGCCUAUCCUCGUACGACACGCUUCGUUAAUUUUCGGUCUACGAUCUAUGUUCCAUCAGGAUCUCAGGCUGGUAUAAUACUUCCAACAUUAGCCGAAAAGAUAACCUUGUAGAUACCAUGUUGCGGCAGUAUCUCGCGUGGCUUGGCCCAUACAGCUGAACCGGCUUAAGCGAAGAUACACACCUAUAUUUUCACUCGCGACGGAAACGGCCACUUGCCUUUCUUCGCAUUUUGACAUCUUAACCCAUGAGCUGUCAGUGCAGCUCAUUCACAUUGAUAGCCACGUGGAGGCAUAAGAACGCGUUUUGGCCUUUUGAUUUAAACAGUUUAGUGUACCAGGCGUUUCGAAGCAUCGACGUGUGCUGCAGAGAUAUGCUGGCAGAAGCAACGGAUGACUCCUGUUUCACGAGUCCGGUGUCUGUUCCGUAGGCACUUGAUCCUGAAUGAUUUUUUUGCUUGCAACGCGUUAUCGUCGAGACUUUCCCUGAUUCGUUUAUUUGUGCAUGCUAGUCGAUGUAUCGACAUCAGAGCACGAUCGGUGUCCGUGUGGAUACAGAAGAGCGUUCCUGCGCCUUUGAGAAUACAUCUUUGUGUCAGGUCCUACUGAAAGAUUUGCAAGAGAAGUCACGAUCGGUUUGAGACUGAAUCAAUCUACUGCGGCGGAGUCGUUGUGAAAAUAAUGCACGCAGCCCACUAAAAAACGACCACUGGCUGACCCCAGCGGAACGAAGCCGUAGAUGCGUGACAACCGACGCCAAGAGGAAGAGAGGACCAGUAGACAGACCGAGUGUGAAAGGAAUCAAAGAUGGGAGCCGAUUACAGGCGAGGGAACCCACUUUUUGUGUAUAGUAGACCCAAUAAGACUGCCAGGUCUGUUGCGUUUUUCACGCUACGCAGGAAGGGUGCCAUAAGGAGACAGGCGAGAAAACGACG
RNAcentral lists this long non-coding RNA (1196 nucleotides) under Toxoplasma gondii VEG. Lineage: Eukaryota; Apicomplexa; Conoidasida; Eucoccidiorida; Sarcocystidae. The record is from RNAcentral.